RNAcentral lists this ribosomal RNA (1450 nucleotides) under soil metagenome. RNAcentral's name for it is "bacterial LSU rRNA". It matches the Rfam family "Bacterial large subunit ribosomal RNA", at positions 840 to 2262 of the family's 2925-position model. The record is from RNAcentral.
CCGUGAUAGCUCGUUCUCCUCGAAAUAGCUUUAGGGCUAGCCUCGGAUGAUUACUCGCGGUGGUAAAGUACUCGAUGGACUAGGGUCUGUUAACAGAUACCGAAUCCAACGAAACUCUGAAUGCCGCGAAGUCAAGUCCGGGAGUCAGACGGCGGGGGCUAAGCUUCGUCGUCGAGAGGGAAACAGCCCAGACCGCCAGCUAAGGUCCCCAAGCAGUGACUAAGUGGGAAAGGAAGUGAAGUCGCUCAGACAGCCAGGAGGUUGGCUUAGAAGCAGCCAUCCUUUAAAGAAAGCGUAAUAGCUCACUGGUCGAGCGUCUUUGCGCCGAUAAUACAACGGGGCUCAAGCCAUUUACCGAAGCUGCGGAUUUCGAACCCCUCCGGGGUUCGGAGUGGUAGAGGAGCGUUGAGUACAGUUUGAAGCGGGACCGCGAGGGCCCGUUGACGGUACUCAAGUGACCCUGCCGGCAUAAGUAGCGAUAACGGAGGUGGGAACCCUCCGCGCCGAAAGUCUAAGGUUUCCUGAGAAAGGUUAAUCCGCUCAGGGUCAGUCGGUCCCUAAGGUGAGGCCGAAAGGCGUAGCUGAUGGACAGCCGGUUAAUAUUCCGGCACUGUGGCGGAGACGUUAUGACGAAGCGGGGACGCAGGAGGAUAGCGGAGUCGAAACCCGCAAGGGCGAUGCGCGCAUCGAGGAGGAUCCGGCAGGCAAAUCCACCGGGUCGGUUCAAAGCCACUCUGAGGUGUGAGCCGAGGGGCCUCGGCCCCAGUAAGUCCGUGACUUCAUGCUGCCAAGAAAAGCCGCUAAGCAGUCUCCGACGCAACCGUACCCCAAACCGACACAGGUAGACGAGGUGAAUAUCCAAAGGCGCUUGAGAGAACACUCGCUCAGGAACUAGGCAAAUUAGCACCGUAACUUCGGGAGAAGGUGUGCCCCGCUAGGGUUCAUAGCCCGAGGGGGCCGCAGUGAAAGGCGCUCUGCGACUGUUUAACAAAAACACAGGUCUCUGCAAAGUCGAAAACGACGUAUAGGGGCUGACGCCUGCCCGGUGCCGGAAGGUUAAAGGGAGAGGUCAUGGGGAGCAAUCCCCGGCAGCUUUGAACUGAAGCCCCGGUGAACGGCGGCCGUAACUAUAACGGUCCUAAGGUAGCGAAAUUCCUUGUCGGGUAAGUUCCGACCUGCACGAAUGGCGCAACGACAGACCGACUGUCGUAGCGAGUGACUCAGCGAACUUGUAGUACCGGUGAAGAUGCCGGUUACCCGCACCUAGACGGAAAGACCCCGUGCACCUUUACUACAACUUAGCCAUGAAUCGCGGAAUUGUAUGCGCAGGAUAGGUGGGAGGCUUUGAACCAGGGCUUUUGGGCUCUGGGGAGCCAACGGUGAGAUACCACCCUUACGGUUCUGUAGUUCUAACCUCGACCCGUGAUCCGGGCCAGGGACACGGCUAGGC